CCUACUUGAGGUCGAAGUGAGUGCCGGUUGCUCCAAGGGACCGGGACCGGUCGAGGCGGUGGUAGGGGUACCCGUAGAAGAGCGCGGUCAACUCGGUGCUGGCGUGUGGCGAAACUGGUCGGAAUAGAAUAGCACACUCAACGAAAAGAGGUGAGUAAAAAGAUGAGGUUGUGUCAACGUAGGUAAGGGGUAGAGAGAAGGCGGUAGCAGGCACGCGUCGGCCGCUACUCGUGGCGGCGAGAAAGAGGAGACGUUGGUUGUUCGAGAGCGCUCGAGGGUACCUACCGGAGAGCGCUCCUAGAAGGAGGGGAGAGAUGAGAACGGGGUGUACGCGACCGACGGCGCGCCGAUGUGGUGGCGGUAGGCGCUUGCCGCCGCUGGGCUGCGCCGCUCCGCAAAGUCGAAAAACCGCCGUUUGGUGACUGCCGCCGCGCUGUCUCUACGGUGCCGUAAAAAAGCGACUCUUGUACUACCACGAUCAACUGCUCCCGCCGUUCGGCCUCGGCCGCUGCACUCUAGACGACGUUGGUACCGCGGGCGCUCGAUCUUGGCCGUCCGGAGUCUCGAUGUAGGUAUCACUGGUGCGGGAUGCUAGGUGACCGUCGGCACAACGUUAGGGCCGCCACCCCUUGCCAGGAGCGGCCACGAGCAGUGAGUGCCGGACCUGCUACCCAUCUGCAAUGAACGCCGCUCGCGCCCCCACCCUCCCCACUGCCGGCCGCUGCCGAUCGGCUGCACCUCGACGUUCGUCCUCCGCUACCCCCAGAUGUCCUUCUGCCCUAUUCCUCCUUCGACGACGCCUAGUUUAGUUUGCCGACACGCGAUGACAUAGCCUGCCGUCCCACUGCUGACCGGCUUUGAAAACCCGGCCACGCGGCCGCGGAUAAUGACCGGGAUUUGAACGUGUCAAAAAACUUCUCAAUAUUCUCACGUUAUACAGAACAAAAUCUCAACUCUCUGGCUUUUAUGUUAAAAGAGAUUUAAUUUACCCCACAUGCAUUUUAGAUUAGGGUGAUAAAAAGAUAAGAUUUGGUACCGUUAAAUAACUAGGUUGCCUGUUGUAUUCAAUCAUUUAUAAUACCCGUCCGUUUAAGGUUUUUUUUAUAUAUUUACGUAAAUC
RNAcentral lists this ribosomal RNA (1120 nucleotides) under Triticum aestivum (bread wheat). RNAcentral describes it as "partial small subunit ribosomal RNA". The record is from RNAcentral. Lineage: Eukaryota; Viridiplantae; Streptophyta; Magnoliopsida; Poales; Poaceae.